Molecule: ribosomal RNA, 253 nt
Filed under: uncultured bacterium
Lineage: Bacteria
Description: partial 16S ribosomal RNA
Rfam family: Bacterial small subunit ribosomal RNA
Source: RNAcentral
UACGUAGGGGGCAAGCGUUGUCCGGAUUUAUUGGGCGUAAAGAGCGUGUAGGCGGCUAUACAGGUCCGCUGUGAAAACUCGAGGCUCAACCUCGAGAUGUCGGCUGAAACCAUCUGGCUAGAGUCCGGAAGAGGAGAAUGGAAUUCCCGGUGUAGCGGUGAAAUGCGCAGAUAUCGGGAAGAACACCCGUGGCGAAGGCGGUUCUCUGGGACGGUACUGACGCUGAGACGCGAAAGCGUGGGGAGCGAACAGG